RNAcentral lists this unclassified non-coding RNA (328 nucleotides) under soil metagenome. RNAcentral's name for it is "partial contains 5.8S ribosomal RNA, internal transcribed spacer 2, and large subunit ribosomal RNA". The stretch from base 1 to 120 matches the Rfam family "5.8S ribosomal RNA", at positions 35 to 154 of the family's 154-position model. The record is from RNAcentral.
GAUGAAGAACGUAGCGAAAUGCGAUAAGUAAUGUGAAUUGCAGAAUUCAGUGAAUCAUCGAAUCUUUGAACGCACAUUGCGCCCCCUGGUAUUCCGGGGGACAUGCCUGUUCGAGCGUCAUUUCAACCCUCAAGCUCUGCUUGGUAUUGAGUCCAUGUCAGCAAUGGCAGGCUCCAAAAUCAGUGGCGGCGCCGCUGGGUCCUGAACGUAGUAAUAUCUCUCGUUACAGGUGCUCGGCGUGCUUCUGCCAAAACCCCAAUUUUUCUAUGGUUGACCUCGGAUCAGGUAGGGAUACCCGCUGAACUUAAGCAUAUCAAUAAGCGGAGGA